GAAAUGCGAUAAGUAAUGUGAAUUGCAGAAUUCAGUGAAUCAUCGAAUCUUUGAACGCACAUUGCGCCCGCCAGUAUUCUGGCGGGCAUGCCUGUUCGAGCGUCAUUACAACACUCAGGCCCCCGGGCCUGGCGUUGGGGAUCGGCGGAAGCCCCCUGCGGGCACAACGCCGUCCCCCAAAUACAGUGGCGGUCCCGCCGCAGCUUCCAUUGCGUAGUAGCUAACACCUCGCAACUGGAGAGCGGCGCGGCCACGCCGUAAAACACCCAACUUCUGAAUGUUGACCUCGAAUCAGGUAGGAAUACCCGCUGAACUUAAUC
Molecule: unclassified non-coding RNA, 320 nt
Filed under: plant metagenome
Description: partial contains 5.8S ribosomal RNA, internal transcribed spacer 2, and large subunit ribosomal RNA
Rfam family: 5.8S ribosomal RNA (bases 1-105)
Source: RNAcentral